AAAAGGUAAAUAAGGGCACUAAUAGUGGAUGCCUUGACAAUCAAUACCGAUGAAGGACGUAGAACUCUGCGAUAAGUCUUGGGGAGCUGAGAGCAAGCUUUGAUCCAGGAAUUUCCGAAUGGGGCAACCUAAUACGAGUCAUGUCGUAUUGCAAUUACCUGAACACAUAGGGUAAUUAGACGGGAACCAACCGAACUGAAUCAUCUUAGUAGGUUGAGGAAAAGAGAAUAAACAAUGAUUCCGAAAGUAGUGGCGAGCGAAAUUGGAACAGCCUAAACCUUAACAUAACCAUACGGUUUAACGGCCAGAGUUAUGAAAGGGGUUGCGAAAUAAGAUAAUUUUUAUGCUGAGGUAUUGGAAAUCCGAUAUUUCAGUAUAAAAACCAACAUCGUUAAAUGAGUGGAUAAUGUUAUAAAACUUAGAUCAUAGCGGAAGUGUUUGAAUGGCACACCAAAGAAGGUGAGAGUCCUGUAUGCGAAAUGGUCUUAGACAUUAUAUAUCUUUUUUCAAGUAGGACGGGGCACGAGAAACCCUGUUUGAAUCUGGCAGGACCACCUGCCAAGGCUAAAUAUAUUGAUUGAUCGAUAGCGAACUAGUACAGUGAUGGAAAGGUGAAAAGAACCCCGGGAGGGGAGUGAAAUAGAUCCUGAAACUUAGUGCCUACAAGGUGUCGGAGCAGCUUCGGCUGUGACGGCGUGCUUUUUGUAGAACGAUCCAGCGAGUUAAUGUUGUCGGCGAGGCUAAGUCAAAUGAUGGAGCCACAGUGAAAGCGAGCCUUAACAGGGCGACAAGUCGGCAGUAUUAGACCCGAAACCGGGUGACCUAACCAUGAGCAGGUUGAAGCUGCAGUAACAUGCAGUGGAGGACCGAACCAGGAUACGCAGUAAAGUGUUUGGAUGACUUGUGG
Molecule: ribosomal RNA, 907 nt
Filed under: Nanosynbacter sp.
Lineage: Bacteria; Bacillati; Minisyncoccota; Nanosynbacteria; Nanosynbacterales; Nanosynbacteraceae
Description: Candidatus Nanosynbacter sp. partial 23S ribosomal RNA
Rfam family: Bacterial large subunit ribosomal RNA
Source: RNAcentral